GACGAACGCUGGCGGCGUGCUUAACACAUGCAAGUCGAACGGAAAGGCCCUGCUUUUGUGGGGUGCUCGAGUGGCGAACGGGUGAGUAACACGUGAGUAACCUGCCCUUGACUUUGGGAUAACUUCAGGAAACUGGGGCUAAUACCGGAUAGGAGCUCCUGCUGCAUGGUGGGGGUUGGAAAGUUUCGGCGGUUGGGGAUGGACUCGCGGCUUAUCAGCUUGUUGGUGGGGUAGUGGCUUACCAAGGCUUUGACGGGUAGCCGGCCUGAGGGGGUGACCGGCGACGGUGGGACUGAGAUACGGCCCAGCCUCCUACGGGAGGCAGGAGUGGGGGAGAUUGCAGCGGGGGCGGAGGCCUGAUGCAGCGAUGCCGCGGGCGGGAUGAAGGGGGUUGGGUGGGAAAAAGAAGCCGCCUGUGCUGAAGCGUGAGGGGAGGUGAUGGGGAAAGAAGAAAAGGCGAAAGACGGG
Molecule: ribosomal RNA, 468 nt
Filed under: uncultured bacterium
Lineage: Bacteria
Description: partial 16S ribosomal RNA
Rfam family: Bacterial small subunit ribosomal RNA (bases 12-374)
Source: RNAcentral